UCUAAUUUAUUAAGCAACACCAGGCAAUUAGAAUAUUGAGACUCUAUGGGGCCCUUGCCCUUGAGCAACUAAAUUUUUUAUUGAAGACGAAAUAUACAUGCAUGAACAAUGUAAGGACAAGGGUGUCCUAAGUGCCAAAUUCCUGGAAGCAAUAAAUGCAGAAGGAUUCGGAUGGGUAGAAAUUGUUAGGUGAAGAGUGGAUAAGGGGGAGAACUUUUCUGGUGAAACAAUCUGAGGAACAAUACUGGAAAAUUAAGAAUGAGCAGGAUUGAUUUGUAGGAUUGUGAGUAAACCGGAAUGACCGGUAAAAGGAAAAGGACAUGACUGACAUUAAAAGAGCAAACAAAGAGUUGACAUUUCUUCCCCUCAGAUUGGCAAAGAAUUAAAACGUCAGCCAAUGUGAGUGAACGUGUUGCAGGGGGACCAGCACUCUGUAACAUAACUUUUCAGUAUGUUAAAAGUCUUAAAGUGGACAUGACUUGUGUUAGGCUCUCAGUUCCCAGAGAAAUCAUCAGAGCUGUGAUCAAAGCU
RNAcentral lists this long non-coding RNA (531 nucleotides) under Homo sapiens (human). RNAcentral describes it as "HSALNT0020810". The record is from RNAcentral. Lineage: Eukaryota; Metazoa; Chordata; Mammalia; Primates; Hominidae.